Molecule: ribosomal RNA, 384 nt
Filed under: Arcuphantes tsushimanus
Lineage: Eukaryota; Metazoa; Arthropoda; Arachnida; Araneae; Linyphiidae
Description: partial 16S ribosomal RNA
Source: RNAcentral
AUGAAUAUUUAAAUAGCCGCAGAAUUUUAACUGUGCUAAGGUAGCAUAAUCAUUUACCUUUUAAUUAAAGGUUUGUAUGAAAGAUUUAACAUUUAAAUUAUUUUUUUAUUAAUUUAUAUUUAAAUUUGACUAAAAAUAAAAAUAUUUUUAUAGAAUAAAAAGACGACAAGACCCUAUUGAACUUAACUUAAGUUAAGCUGGGGCAGCUAAUUAAACAUAAUUUUAAUACAUUAUAUUAAAUAAAUUUCUGGACACCCAAAAUGAUCAAGUUACCAUAGGGAUAACAGCGUAAUAAUUUUUAAAAGUUCUUAUCUAAAAAAUAGAUUACGACCUCGAUGUUGAAUUAAAUUUUACUUUAAAACGCAAUAGUAUUAAAAGUAGGUC